RNAcentral lists this ribosomal RNA (911 nucleotides) under Enterococcus faecium. RNAcentral describes it as "bacterial SSU rRNA". It matches the Rfam family "Bacterial small subunit ribosomal RNA", at positions 207 to 1104 of the family's 1533-position model. Lineage: Bacteria; Bacillati; Bacillota; Bacilli; Lactobacillales; Enterococcaceae. The record is from RNAcentral.
GCGCUUUCGGGUGUCGCUGAUGGAUGGACCCGCGGUGCAUUAGCUAGUUGGUGAGGUAACGGCUCACCAAGGCCACGAUGCAUAGCCGACCUGAGAGGGUGAUCGGCCACAUUGGGACUGAGACACGGCCCAAACUCCUACGGGAGGCAGCAGUAGGGAAUCUUCGGCAAUGGACGAAAGUCUGACCGAGCAACGCCGCGUGAGUGAAGAAGGUUUUCGGAUCGUAAAACUCUGUUGUUAGAGAAGAACAAGGAUGAGAGUAACUGUUCAUCCCUUGACGGUAUCUAACCAGAAAGCCACGGCUAACUACGUGCCAGCAGCCGCGGUAAUACGUAGGUGGCAAGCGUUGUCCGGAUUUAUUGGGCGUAAAGCGAGCGCAGGCGGUUUCUUAAGUCUGAUGUGAAAGCCCCCGGCUCAACCGGGGAGGGUCAUUGGAAACUGGGAGACUUGAGUGCAGAAGAGGAGAGUGGAAUUCCAUGUGUAGCGGUGAAAUGCGUAGAUAUAUGGAGGAACACCAGUGGCGAAGGCGGCUCUCUGGUCUGUAACUGACGCUGAGGCUCGAAAGCGUGGGGAGCAAACAGGAUUAGAUACCCUGGUAGUCCACGCCGUAAACGAUGAGUGCUAAGUGUUGGAGGGUUUCCGCCCUUCAGUGCUGCAGCUAACGCAUUAAGCACUCCGCCUGGGGAGUACGACCGCAAGGUUGAAACUCAAAGGAAUUGACGGGGGCCCGCACAAGCGGUGGAGCAUGUGGUUUAAUUCGAAGCAACGCGAAGAACCUUACCAGGUCUUGACAUCCUUUGACCACUCUAGAGAUAGAGCUUCCCCUUCGGGGGCAAAGUGACAGGUGGUGCAUGGUUGUCGUCAGCUCGUGUCGUGAGAUGUUGGGUUAAGUCCCGCAACGAGCGCAACCC